Molecule: transfer RNA, 71 nt
Filed under: Roseibium marinum
Lineage: Bacteria; Pseudomonadati; Pseudomonadota; Alphaproteobacteria; Hyphomicrobiales; Stappiaceae
Description: Labrenzia marina tRNA-Cys
Rfam family: tRNA
About the family: Transfer RNA (tRNA) molecules are approximately 80 nucleotides in length. Their secondary structure includes four short double-helical elements and three loops (D, anti-codon, and T loops).
Source: RNAcentral
GGCGUGUUGGCAGAGUGGUUAUGCACCGGAUUGCAAAUCCGGAAAGAGUGGUUCGAGUCCGCUACACGCCU